CCUGGCCCCGCCGCCGUCAUCCCGCAUCGAGUGUGCUGAGCUGAGGCGUCCGCGCGGCUGUUUCACACGCAGGGCUCUGGUCAGACGGGCCCUGGGCAAGGCCUCUGCCCUCAGCCUCCUGUCAACAGCUUCAAGUAGACUCAGCACCAAGGAGCAGAAAGGGCUGGCCACCUCCCUCGUCCAAACCGAAAGUGAUUCUGGAGAACACUAGCGUCUACCCCUGGAGCCAGCAGCAGCAGUGUGGACUGGUGGUUAGAGCAGACUGGGCCCACAGCUGGCGUGUGCACCUACAGCUGAGCUUCUCAAGAGCAAGACGGUUCUAGAACACUCGGAGACACACGUGCUCCAGAAGAUGAGGAGCCUUACUGUUUAAACAAUGGCCCAUCUAACAAAGUUUAAAACAGUGAACUUGAAAAAUAUCCAUAGUUUUUUUAAUGAUCGUUUUUCUCACAACCCCUUUAUUUUUGUGUUGUAGUGUAUAAAGAUGUAAUCUGGUAAGA
This 500-nucleotide long non-coding RNA is filed under the name Capra hircus (goat). RNAcentral describes it as "lncRNA (ENSCHIG00000004592.1)". The record is from RNAcentral. Lineage: Eukaryota; Metazoa; Chordata; Mammalia; Artiodactyla; Bovidae.